CCCCUUAAUAACAGAAUACAUAACAGAUGUAAGGCUGCAUACACAGAGUCAUCCCAGCUGCUACUUAAAGCUGGGACCAGGAACAGAGCAGCAACUGCUGGAACCAUCAUCCCCCGUGGCUGGCAUAAUGUGGCAUCCUGGUUGCCUGGCAAUGACUCGGACCCUCUGUAGUGGAAAGCCACAGUGAUGGCUUAUAACAGACUCAGAGUGAGAAGGGCUUGAAUCAUCAUGAAAGGCAGAUGAAGAUGCCUCACUGACAGUUUCAGAAACACCACGUGUAAAUAAAGAUCAAGGCUUUCACUUAAACCUAAGAUCAAGUACAGCAGCACCCCUCGAAUUAUACGACACCCCUGGGCUUAUAAAGCAUAGGCAGCCCUCUUGGAGAAUUACACAGCACAGCAAACAGGCAACAGCACCCCUGGAUUUAAAUGGAAGUUGGACAGCACCCCUGGACUGAUGGGGAAGAGGGGCAGCACCCCUGAAAUGAUGUGGCAAAGAAAAGACAUGCAAGAUGGAAGUGUCCUUAUGUUGUAUAAACAGGACAUGCACACUUUAACAAACCAAUCAUUUCAGCGACAAGGUCUGCCACAUGACUGUGGCUGAAAUGAUUGCUUUGCUUGGCCCCCACCAAAAAAAAGCAAUUAAACUCACCUUGCACAAACAGGGCUCUACAGUGGUAAUAUGUCGUCCCCAUCCUCAGAUCCCCCCCUUCAGUGUUUACAUCCUCAUCCUCACAGAGAAAUAAUAUUCAAACAAAACCAUAUCAUUUAGGUGUCAGUGGACUGCUUACACUAUUACCCAAAGUUUCUGAACUUGACAAUAACUUAUGAUGAAUGCGCUGCAGGUGACGUAUAAGGGAGGAUGGACUUAGGUGGUUAAUGUCCUUACCCCUACUUAUUAUGGAUUGACAAAGGCAACAGAUGGCUUUACACCUGUUGUCUGGAUUUGUGGAGAAAUAAUUCCACACCGAAAAGGUAGCUUUUUUAGUAUUUUGCCCAGGCAUGACAAUGAGCUUUUUCAUCCCAUGGCCAACAACUGUCUCCACUGGUGCCUUAUUCAAACAAACCACAUCACCAUCAGAAUUCUCAUCGUUAACUUCCUCCGCAGCACCAGCUAUACCCAUAUCCUCCUCAUCCUGGUGUACUUCUAGGGUGACAUCCUCAAUUUCAACACCAGCAACUGGACUGGCGGUGCUCCUCCCAGCACUUGCAGAGGGUGUGCAAAUGGUGGUAGGAGCCUUCUCUUCCCAUACAGUCUUGUGAAGGUCAGGCCUAGACAUCGCAACCACGGACAGUGUCAGCACUCCUGUAUUUUCACAACACCCGUGUAAUAAAAAAGCAUACAAGACAAGGCCCGUGUACAUUUAUUUUCACUGCAUCCCUGUAUUUUACAGCAUACAGGGCCAGUGUACUUUUAUUUUAACAGCAGCACCCCUGU
Long non-coding RNA from Pseudophryne corroboree (corroboree frog), 1437 nucleotides. RefSeq lists it as uncharacterized. The transcript has 3 exons. The record is from RefSeq and is a predicted model, not a curated record. Lineage: Eukaryota; Metazoa; Chordata; Amphibia; Anura; Myobatrachidae.